CCUACGGGAGGCAGCAGUAGGGAAUCUUCCACAAUGGACGAAAGUCUGAUGGAGCAACGCCGCGUGAGCGAUGAAGGCCUUCGGGUCGUAAAGCUCUGUUGUUAGGGAAGAACAAGUACCGGAGUAACUGCCGGUACCUUGACGGUACCUAACCAGAAAGCCACGGCUAACUACGUGCCAGCAGCCGCGGUAAUACGUAGGUGGCAAGCGUUGUCCGGAAUUAUUGGGCGUAAAGCGCGCGCAGGCGGUCCUUUAAGUCUGAUGUGAAAGCCCACGGCUCAACCGUGGAGGGUCAUUGGAAACUGGGGGACUUGAGUGCAGAAGAGGAAAGCGGAAUUCCACGUGUAGCGGUGAAAUGCGUAGAGAUGUGGAGGAACACCAGUGGCGAAGGCGGCUUUCUGGUCUGUAACUGACGCUGAGGCGCGAAAGCGUGGGGAGCAAACAGGAUUAGAUACCCUGGUAGUCCACGCCGUAAACGAUGAGUGCUAAGUGCUAGAGGGUUUCCGCCCUUUAGUGCUGCAGCUAACGCAUUAAGCACUCCGCCUGGGGAGUACGGCCGCAAGGCUGAAACUCAAAGGAAUUGACGG
Molecule: ribosomal RNA, 587 nt
Filed under: uncultured bacterium
Lineage: Bacteria
Description: bacterial SSU rRNA
Rfam family: Bacterial small subunit ribosomal RNA
Source: RNAcentral